GAUGAACGCUGGCGGCGUGCUUAACACAUGCAAGUCGAACGGUGAACACGGAGCUUGCUCUGUGGGAUCAGUGGCGAACGGGUGAGUAACACGUGAGCAACCUGCCCCUGACUCUGGGAUAAGCGCUGGAAACGGCGUCUAAUACUGGAUAUGUGACGUGACCGCAUGGUCUGCGUUUGGAAAGAUUUUUCGGUUGGGGAUGGGCUCGCGGCCUAUCAGCUUGUUGGUGAGGUAAUGGCUCACCAAGGCGUCGACGGGUAGCCGGCCUGAGAGGGUGACCGGCCACACUGGGAUUGAGACACGGCCCAGACUCCUACGGGAGGCAGCAGUGGGGAAUAUUGCACAAUGGGCGAAAGCCUGAUGCAGCAACGCCGCGUGAGGGAUGACGGCCUUCGGGUUGUAAACCUUUUUGAGCAGGGAAGAAGCGAAAGUGACGGUACCUGCAGAAAAAGCGCCGGCUAACUACGUG
This 469-nucleotide ribosomal RNA is filed under the name uncultured bacterium. RNAcentral's name for it is "partial 16S ribosomal RNA". It matches the Rfam family "Bacterial small subunit ribosomal RNA", at positions 28 to 507 of the family's 1533-position model. The record is from RNAcentral.